Molecule: ribosomal RNA, 478 nt
Filed under: uncultured bacterium
Lineage: Bacteria
Description: partial 16S ribosomal RNA
Rfam family: Bacterial small subunit ribosomal RNA
Source: RNAcentral
GACGAACGCUGGCGGCGUGCUUAACACAUGCAAGUCGAACGGUAAGGCCCUUCGGGGUACACGAGUGGCGAACGGGUGAGUAACACGUGGGUGAUCUGCCCUGCACUUCGGGAUGAGCCUGGGAAACUGGGUCUAAUACCGGAUAGGACUCCUGGCUUCAUGGUUGGGGGUGGAAAGCUUUUGCGGUGUGGGAUGGGCCCGCGGCCUAUCAGCUUGUUGGUGGGGUAAUGGCCUACCAAGGCGACGACGGGUAGCCGGCCUGAGAGGGUGACCGGUCACACUGGGACGGAGAUACGGCCCAGACUCCUACGGGAGGCAGCAGUGGGGAAUAUCGCACAAUGGGCGCAAGCCUGAUGCAGCGACGCCGCGUGAGGGAUGACGGCCUUCGGGUUGUAAACCUCUUUCAGCUAUGACGAAGCGCAAGUGACGGUAGUAGCAGAAGAAGGACCGGCCAACUACGUGCAAGCCGCCGCCGUAA